Non-coding RNA from Trichobilharzia regenti, 46 nucleotides. The record is from Rfam. Lineage: Eukaryota; Metazoa; Platyhelminthes; Trematoda; Strigeidida; Schistosomatidae.
GUACUGAUGAAGAGUCCCAAAAUGAGACGAAACAGUUGUCCAGUAC